This is a non-coding RNA of Danio rerio (zebrafish), 1024 nucleotides long. Lineage: Eukaryota; Metazoa; Chordata; Actinopteri; Cypriniformes; Danionidae. The record is from Ensembl.
GCUGCUGCCGGAGCCCUGCGCAUCCUCCUGCUUGAUUUUUAGCUGUAAGAUUUUACGACACUGAUUUAUUUAUUUCUUAACGGCUUUACUUUAGCAAAUAAACCGCGGAUGCAUCGAAAAGACAACCGUAAGCCCCGUAGACCUUGAGAUUAACUUGUUCUCACGUUUUUUUUUUUUUUUUGUGAGUGCUGUCGUUUGAAUGAAAUGGAUGUUCUGGAUGUUUUUUUGUAAAACGCUGGAUGGGAAAUGAAAUCGAAAAUGAGACUGUGGGAGAAAUCAGUGAUAAAACACAACCCAAAUGACCACAGAUUAGGAGUCGGAAGACGAGCAGAGAGUGGGAGUAGCGAUAGUGGUGGAGGAGUGAACCCGGAGCAGGUGAACACAGCUGCGGACCGCCAUGGGCUCUCUUCCAUCGGUCCCGACUCUCCGUCUUCAGGUCUCUGAGAGACGGCAGGGGCCAGCCAGGGAGCGUCGGAGUGGGCAGGAGAGGCAGCUCGCUUUCCCCGCCGGCUACCGACUCCUCAGCAGCGAGGAGGGAGAGAAAUCAAUACUGAGGAGAGAUGCUGCCAGGGGUCGCCCAACGCUGCCUCCAGCCAUGGAGCCAUGGGAGCUCGUGUGUUCAGCUUUCUCUCUCUCAGCCCAUUCUCAGUCAACUAGCAUCAGCUAAAGAGAGGGCCAACAGCCUUGACGCUCUUCAUGCAACGCCGAGUGUGUGUGUAUGCGUGUGUGGUUCUGCCAGAGGGCCUUUCCAGGCUCAGCAUCACUUGAUAAAACUUUGCCUGCUGGAGAAUGAGUAGAAAAAGAAUGUCAAAGGUCUUUUUUUCCCCCGUCUUUGAUUCCUUUUUCGCCAUGAGUGCACAUUCCCCCUGACUGUUGUAAUGAGUGCUUGACGGAGAUCUCUUUUACGCUAAAUCAAGAGGCCUUCUUUUUUUAGUGGUCCUCCUCCUAAGCAUGCACAAAGUGCUCUACACCUGAUGGGCCAGGAUGAGAGAGCAGUAUGAAUCCUUUUUCACCUUUUCCACAA